AACAGGGGGAAGUUAGAAUCAAAUCCACAACCUUCCGAUUGCAAGACAAACCUUUCCACCCACUAAGCCAAAGUCACCCCAACUUGGAACAACUUUAAACAUUGAACAACUUUCAAAAGUUUUUUUAACUUAUUUACGAUGAACAAUAGUAUUUACCCUACAAACAACAUUUCUGUGUGAACCUAAAAGCCUGCAACAAAGUACACAAAAAACUUCUGAAAAUGCACUUUAAAGAGGUUCAUUUCAUAUACUAUGAAUGCGCCAUAGAUGGCUUUAUGUCUGGGUGUGGCUACAUUGUUAGAACCUCAAAGUACCCCAGAGUAUGACAGAUCUUGAUAGUGUUCCUUUGAGGACAAGUGCUUCUUUCUAUCAGCCUCCUCUGUUCCCAGUGAGAGCCUUUUUGAGGAAUUGAUUUUGUGUUGUUUUAAGAGCCAAGCUCGACUGCCACCAUUUCUGGUAACCUCGGUUUCUUAAUCACAUUACAGUCUGCCUGAAAAGCUUUGCUAUCUUCUUACAGCCUUUCCGGUCUUGAUACUUUCACAGUUCUGUGAGCAUCUUUGGAAACGUCUGUGAAUGCUAUACGUCAAGAUAAAGCUUUAGUAUUUGCAUCAUUUGCCCUUUCCAAUAACAAGCUCCAAAAUAUAUGUCUUUAAAAAAGCUGCAUUUUUUCCCCCCAUGAUUUUAAUAUACAAAUAUGAGAAACAUAACAUAACACAUCAAACAUAUUCCUAAAUUAUUAUAUAGAAUACUCUCAUCAAUCUGUUAAUUUGUUAACUUUAAAAUUCCAAUUAGCAUAAAUCUUCCUGAAUGGGUCCAAAUGUUUACCUUUCAUGCUGCAAACUGUAAUGAGUGUUUUUAGGUCCGGAAAUUAGGAUGAAAUACAUUGUAUUAUAUGAUUGUGCAUUUUACCAUUAGUAAAGUACACCUUUUAGGCUUGUUUUAGGCUACAGUAACAUCAGAGGGGAGGAGCAGUGAGACAGAGGGAAGGAGCCUAUAUUUAGAAGCACUGCGUGGUGAGAAGUGGGUUCCCUUACCGGCAGAAACUAGCCAGGGGGGGGGGGGUAGGGGGCAGAUUCUGUCUGACGGGUGCGCCCCACUUUGACACGCUCACAGACUCUGAGACAAGAGAAAAACGAUCCCAGCAGUGAGCCAAAAUGUGUCUGAAGAGGUAAAAGCUCCAUUAAACAUGUUCACUGCUCAGACGUUGAGUGCAUUCUUUGAUUUGCUUGAUGUAAAUGGGACCAAUGAGAAUGACAUGUUAAGAAUAAACUAUUGCCUUUUAGUUACUAUCUCAUGACA
Long non-coding RNA from Fundulus heteroclitus (mummichog), 1299 nucleotides. RefSeq lists it as uncharacterized. The transcript has 3 exons. NCBI's taxonomy places the organism in Eukaryota, Metazoa, Chordata, Actinopteri, Cyprinodontiformes, Fundulidae. The record is from RefSeq and is a predicted model, not a curated record.